RNAcentral lists this ribosomal RNA (253 nucleotides) under uncultured bacterium. Its description in RNAcentral is "partial 16S ribosomal RNA". It matches the Rfam family "Bacterial small subunit ribosomal RNA", at positions 524 to 776 of the family's 1533-position model. The record is from RNAcentral.
UACGUAGGGGGCAAGCGUUAUCCGGAUUUACUGGGUGUAAAGGGAGCGUAGACGGUUAUGCAAGUCAGAAGUGAAAGCCCAAAGCUCAACUUCGGGACUGCUUUUGGAACUGUGUAACUAGAGUGCAGGAGGGGUAAGCGGAAUUCCUAGUGUAGCGGUGAAAUGCGUAGAUAUUAGGAGGAACACCGGCGGCGAAGGCGGCUUACUGGACUGUAACUGACGUUGAGGCUCGAAAGCGUGGGGAGCAAACAGG